AGGCCUUGACAUGCAGAGAACUUUCCAGAGAUGGAUUGGUGCCUUCGGGAACUCUGACACAGGUGCUGCAUGGCUGUCGUCAGCUCGUGUCGUGAGAUGUUGGGUUAAGUCCCGUAACGAGCGCAACCCUUGUCCUUAGUUACCAGCACGUUAUGGUGGGCACUCUAAGGAGACUGCCGGUGACAACCGGAGGAAGGUGGGGAUGACGUCAAGCCAUCAUGGCCCUUACGGCCUGGGCUACACACGUGCUACAAUGGUCGGUACAAAGGGUUGCCAAGCCGCGAGGUGGAGCUAAUCCCAUAAAACCGAUCGUAGUCCGGAUCGCAGUCUGCAACUCGACUGCGUGAAGUCGGAAUCGCUAGUAAUCGUGAAUCAGAAUGUCACGGUGAAUACGUUCCCGGGCCUU
Molecule: ribosomal RNA, 406 nt
Filed under: uncultured Pseudomonas sp.
Lineage: Bacteria; Pseudomonadati; Pseudomonadota; Gammaproteobacteria; Pseudomonadales; Pseudomonadaceae
Description: bacterial SSU rRNA
Rfam family: Bacterial small subunit ribosomal RNA
Source: RNAcentral